This 507-nucleotide ribosomal RNA is filed under the name Dasypeltis medici. Its description in RNAcentral is "partial 16S ribosomal RNA". It matches the Rfam family "Bacterial large subunit ribosomal RNA", at positions 1816 to 2597 of the family's 2925-position model. The record is from RNAcentral. Lineage: Eukaryota; Metazoa; Chordata; Lepidosauria; Squamata; Colubridae.
AACCUUUAGCCAAACAAAUAUUAAAGGCAACGCCUGCCCAGUGAACAAUUAAACGGCCGCGGUACCCUAACCGUGCAAAGGUAGCAUAAUCAUUUGUCUACUAAUUAUAGACCUGUAUGAAAGGCAAAAUGAGGGUUUAACUGUCUCUUAUAACUAAUCAAUUAAACUGAUCUCCUAGUAAAAAAGCUAGAAUGCCACCAUAAGACCAGAAGACCCUGUGAAGCUUAAAUUAAACCAUUAAACCCAAUAAUGACUACUUUCGGUUGGGGCGACCUUGGAAAAAAAAAGAACUUCCAAAAUAGUGAAUUACAACACUAAAACAUAGGCCUACAAGCCACUUACGACCCAGUACCACUGAUAAACGAACUAAGUUACUCCAGGGAUAACAGCGCAAUCUUCUUCAAGAGCCCAUAUCAAAAAGAAGGUUUACGACCUCGAUGUUGGAUCAGGACAUCCUAAUGGUGUAGCCGCUAUUAAGGGUUCGUUUGUUCAACGAUCAAUAGUCCU